CUUGGAUCUGGUACCUGUAAACAAAAUCCCCUGACCAUCACACGGAUAUAUUCUUUAGCUACAAAUAUGGUCCAGGUCUGCUGUUAAAACUGGGACACUGGCGGCCAGGAAUACAAGAGCAAUUGAGACAGGAAAAGGUAAGAGAAUGUAAUUGUGAUCUAGCUGUUACAGUACUGCGUUGCAGAUUUCCAUGGUCCUAGGUCCUGUUUCCCUAAUUAGCCUCAUUUAAAUCCAAUAUAAAGUAUUGGAACAAUUAGGAACAAUUUCCAACUACAUAAACCCUAAAAAGUAUUAGAGAUUGUGAUUUUUACAGCAUAUUACUUGUAUAAAUGUAGCAUUUAUAUACUUUUAUAGUGUAUGGAAGGUACACAAAGAUUGACUGAUGUUAUUGCAAUAAUGUCUUGUAGUGAUGAUGUAAUGUCAAUUGAAGUGUGUAUCAUUUAUGGAGUACUGAAUUAAAGGCUUCCAUAUCCUGAAAAUUCUUUACUAUCAGUCGUGGACUUCUGGAAACUGGGCAUAGCCAUAGGGAUGGAACAGAUGUGUCUGCAUCAGUUGUUCUAGUGCUUAUGACGUACUCAGAUGUUCUCUGAGGGUUUUCAUCUCUGCUAGGAUGAAGCUGCUAGCAAUAACAGUGGGCGCUGGUGUCAGGAAUCAAUAUACAGAGAUGAGGAAUCAUGCUACAGACAGAUUCCAGGAGAAGAAUGCAAAGAUCAAAGUGGGACAGCAAAAAGAGAGCAAGUCAGAGAAAGGUUCCACAUCUUCUCUUGACAAGGAAAUGGAAGUCCGACUUUGCUGAAACAGCACAAGAUGCUUAAAUGCUCUUCAACCUAAUGGUAAAGGUUGUGUUGUUCAACAUGGGAGAUCUUGACUGAAGUUACCAGUCUUGUCAGGAUAAGUUGACGUGUGGAAAAUUACCUCUGAAUCAGCACCCAAAUGUCAUGACUACGAGUCUGUCUAAGACUGUGCUCAAGCCAUAAGGAUAUGUAUAUGCUUUUACCAAGUAAAAAUCUCAUGGUGACAUCUAUAAUUUGAGAUUUCAUUUUCAC
This 1046-nucleotide long non-coding RNA is filed under the name Anas platyrhynchos platyrhynchos (common mallard). RNAcentral's name for it is "lncRNA (ENSAPLG00000024146.1)". Lineage: Eukaryota; Metazoa; Chordata; Aves; Anseriformes; Anatidae. The record is from RNAcentral.